GGGGGUGUAGCUCAUAUGGUAGAGCGCUCGCUUUGCAUGCGGGAGUCACAGGGUUCGAUUACCCGCACCUCCA
RNAcentral lists this transfer RNA (73 nucleotides) under Brassica oleracea var. oleracea. It matches the Rfam family "tRNA". Rfam says of the family: Transfer RNA (tRNA) molecules are approximately 80 nucleotides in length. The record is from Rfam by way of RNAcentral. Lineage: Eukaryota; Viridiplantae; Streptophyta; Magnoliopsida; Brassicales; Brassicaceae.